Molecule: ribosomal RNA, 207 nt
Filed under: uncultured bacterium
Lineage: Bacteria
Description: partial 16S ribosomal RNA
Rfam family: Bacterial small subunit ribosomal RNA
Source: RNAcentral
CGCGUAGGUGGUUUGGUAAGUCGGAUGUGAAAGCCCAGGGCUUAACCUUGGAAUUGCAUUCGAUACUGCUUAACUAGAGUAUGGUAGAGGGAAGUGGAAUUUCCGGUGUAGCGGUGAAAUGCGUAGAUAUCGGAAGGAACACCAGUGGCGAAGGCGACUUCCUGGGCCAAUACUGACGCUGAGGUGCGAAAGCGUGGGGAGCAAACA